Molecule: ribosomal RNA, 497 nt
Filed under: uncultured bacterium
Lineage: Bacteria
Description: partial 16S ribosomal RNA
Rfam family: Bacterial small subunit ribosomal RNA
Source: RNAcentral
GAUGAACGCUGGCGGCGUGCCUAAUACAUGCAAGUCGAGCGAACAGACGAGGAGCUUGCUCCUCUGACGUUAGCGGCGGACGGGUGAGUAACACGUGGAUAACCUACCUAUAAGACUGGGAUAACUUCGGGAAACCGGAGCUAAUACCGGAUAACAUGUUGAACCGCAUGGUUCAACAGUGAAAGACGGUCUUGCUGUCACUUAUAGAUGGAUCCGCGCCGCAUUAGCUAGUUGGUAAGGUAACGGCUUACCAAGGCAACGAUGCGUAGCCGACCUGAGAGGGUGAUCGGCCACACUGGAACUGAGACACGGUCCAGACUCCUACGGGAGGCAGCAGUAGGGAAUCUUCCUCAAUGGGCGAAAGCCUGACGGAGCAACGCCGCGUGAGUGAAGAAGGUCUUCGGAUCGUAAAACUCUGUUAUUAGGGAAGAACAAAUGUGUAAGUAACUAUGCACGUCCUGACGGUACCUAAUCAGAAAGCCACGGCUAACUACGUG